GGGCGCUUAGCUCAGUUGGUAGAGCGUCUGCCUUACAAGCAGUAUGUCGGCGGUUCGAUCCCGUCAGCGCCCACCA
This 76-nucleotide transfer RNA is filed under the name Acinetobacter baumannii. RNAcentral describes it as "tRNA-Val". It matches the Rfam family "tRNA". From Rfam's summary of the family: Transfer RNA (tRNA) molecules are approximately 80 nucleotides in length. The record is from RNAcentral. Lineage: Bacteria; Pseudomonadati; Pseudomonadota; Gammaproteobacteria; Moraxellales; Moraxellaceae.